This 2452-nucleotide long non-coding RNA is filed under the name Macaca mulatta (Rhesus monkey). RNAcentral's name for it is "lncRNA (ENSMMUG00000057148.1)". Lineage: Eukaryota; Metazoa; Chordata; Mammalia; Primates; Cercopithecidae. The record is from RNAcentral.
AGGCCUGAAAGUCCCACGGAGCAUCUCCCAUCCUCACCCUCGGCCUGGAGGAUGGAGGCGCCUGGCCGGCAGCUGUCAGGACUUCGUCAAAGCUGCGCUCAGAUGGAGACAACGUCCUGUCAGGUGCCGUGAUGGGUCUGUGUUGUGCGAGUGUGUUGCUUUAGGCUGCUUUAGGCCACCUGCCCGCCCGAUUCUGUCGUUCUGCGUUUCCGAGUCGCCCUCUAGACGAGCCGCAGCUUCAACGGUGGCUUUAGCACGGUGCUGUCAGCGGCUCAGCGGCUCUCGGUAUGAAAUGCUGAAGUGAUUUGUGUAAAUCAUGACUGUGGCCUAAUGAGGUUUAUUCCUUCCGAACCUUCAAGAAAUUGUUACUGUUCCUGAUGUAUUUUAUGGCAAUCGGCUCCUGGAGAAGGGAUCGAGAGGCGGGUAUCUCUACCCCUUUUUCUAUAUUUUGUGGGGAUGGGGGGGCCUGGCUGGCACCGUAGGGGGCCAGGUGCCCUGGGCUGUGAACUCCUGAAGGCGGGGGACGCCUCCCUCCUCAUCAGGCCUGGAAUGAAGCCCACGUGGGCAGUCAAGGCUGCUCCCAUGAACAACACGCCAGCGCCCCAAGGCUGGCCACGGGCAGGACACAGACAGACGCGUCAUUAGAGCACUGGCGCGGGCGUCUCCGUGGCACGUGAGGGUCCGGGGCCCUGCCUUUGCUUUCGGUCUCUGUGCACGCUGCCUCUGACCUCAUGGUCCAGUGCCUGUGGAAGUGGGUCUGUGCACAGUGGACCUUUUAAAAUAGACACGAAACCUUACAGGGCCUGGCCUCCCCUCUGUGUGCUGCUGCUGUUUGUCUUUUCCUCGGCUUCCCGUUGUUCGACGGAAUGGACUCCACGCAGCUGUCCUGUGAGCUCGACACAGCCAAGCUGGAGUUGGCAGAGCUGCAGACAGGGCAGCGAUGCUGAGCCAUGAUGUCAUCAUCAAAAUGAAGUCAGGUGGACCCUCUGGACCCUCUGAGUUUCCAGCCGAGGAGUAGUGACAUGUUCUGAGGACGGGCUUCCCCUCCCCCACCCUCCAGCUCCCAGUGCCGCCUGUAACCCUCCCCCACCCUCCAGCUCCCAGUGCCGCCUGUAACCCUCCCCCACCCUCCAGCUCCCAGUUGCCGCCUGUAACCCUCCCCCACCCUCCAGCUCCCAGUGCCGCCUGUAACCCUCCCCCACCCUCCAGCUCCCAGUGCCGCCUGUAACCCUCCCCCACCCUCAGCUCCCAGUGCCGCCUGUAACCCUCCCCCACCCUCCAGCUCCCAGUGCCGCCUGUAACCCUCCCCCACCCUCCAGCUCCCAGUGCCGCCUGUAACUGCAACCCUCAGGGCGGUGGGUCUUCAGGCCUAGCUGGACGCCCCAGCUUUGGGCUUGCUCAGGCCGCUGGUCUACGACACCAUUCUGGGCAGGCCUUUCAUGGACACACACUGGCCUCUCAGUUGUUCGGGGUCAUCUGGCCUCACAGUCGUUCAGGGUGGCCUUGAGAAUAGGUGGGUGGGGGCAGAUAUGACAUAGUCACCCCCCAUUUUUUAUUGGGGUAAAAUUCACGUUAGCCAUUUUAAAGUGUGCGAAUCUGGGUGUGCAGAGCUUGUAGAGUGCUGUGCAAGCAUCACCCCGUGAGCUCAGAGCACGGUGUCCUCCCGAGCUGAGCACCGCUCGCCUUCUCCCGCCCUCCAGGCCCCAACAACCAGGAAUCUCUUUGCCGCCUCUGGAUUGACCUAUUCUGGACAUUUCACAUAAAUGGAAUCCUGCAACAUACGGCCUUUCGUGUCUGGCUUAUCCACAGAGCACGAUGUCUUCCAGGUUCAUCAUGCCGUAGCCUGUGUGGGCGCCGGCUCCCUUUCCUCGUCACUCGUCGCUCCCGUGCAUGGAGGAGCACAUCCUGUUCAUUCGUCCUCACCCUUGGUGGUGCUGGGUGGCUCCCCGCUGCUGCUGCUGCAAAUGCUCCUGCACACGUGUUUGUGUGAACGCCUGCUUCCAGCUGAGGGUGGAGCUGCCGAAUCACACGGCUGCUCCGAGCUUAAUUCUCAGACGAGGCUCUGUCAGUCGCACGUGACUGUGUGGGCUCAGGCGUCUGUGCGAGUUGCUGUGUGCGUGUGGGUGUGCGGCCGACGUAAGCUCGUCUGCGUCCCUCACAUUUAGUGUCCAGGGUCGGGCCGCCUGUUACGGACUGUCCUGUUGAUGUGAGAAUCCGGACCCCUUGGAAACUCUCGGCCGUGAUAAAUUAUGAAUCAGAUUUGGGAAGCUGCUGCUUUUUCAUUUAACUGCAUCUUGAGCUUGAGUGGUUUUUUAUUUAUAAAAUCAAUGUGUGGUUUUUAAAAUUAAAAAUCUUCAUAAAUGUUAUCACUGAGAUGAACACAGGUGAGAUCCUCAAAAUGCCUCCUCUCCGGGCACUUUCAGAGAUAAAAAUAAAAGCCAUGCAUCUGGCA